Long non-coding RNA from Folsomia candida, 139 nucleotides. RefSeq lists it as uncharacterized. The transcript is spliced from 2 exons. Lineage: Eukaryota; Metazoa; Arthropoda; Collembola; Entomobryomorpha; Isotomidae. The record is from RefSeq and is a predicted model, not a curated record.
GAAGGUUCCAUUUCAUGAAUUUGGGACAAACAAUGUGGUGGAAAUUGUACGACGAAUUUGCAAAGGAUUCUAUCCAAUGUGUUGCCCUACCAAAUCAAAUAGCUUUAUGAGUAAUUUAUCACAAGCAAUAUUUAAAUGU